GCACAACGCGAAGAACCUUACCAGGUCUUGACAUCCCAUUGACCGGUCCUUAACCGGGCCUUCCCUUCGGGGCAAUGGAGACAGGUGGUGCAUGGUUGUCGUCAGCUCGUGUCGUGAGAUGUUGGGUUAAGUCCCGCAACGAGCGCAACCCUUGUCAUUAGUUGCCAGCACGUAAUGGUGGGAACUCUAAUGAGACUGCCGGGGAUAACUCGGAGGAAGGUGGGGACGACGUCAAAUCAUCAUGCCCCUUAUGUCUUGGGCUACACACGUGCUACAAUGGCCGGUACAAAGAGCUGCAAUACCGUAAGGUGGAGCGAAUCUCAUAAAGCCGGUCUCAGUUCGGAUCGUGGGCUGCAACCCGCCCACGUGAAGCCGGAGUUGCUAGUAAUCGCGAAUCAGCAUGUCGCGGUGAAUGCGUUCCCGGGUCUUGUACACACCG
RNAcentral lists this ribosomal RNA (439 nucleotides) under uncultured bacterium. RNAcentral describes it as "bacterial SSU rRNA". It matches the Rfam family "Bacterial small subunit ribosomal RNA", at positions 954 to 1392 of the family's 1533-position model. The record is from RNAcentral.